RNAcentral lists this long non-coding RNA (6411 nucleotides) under Homo sapiens (human). RNAcentral describes it as "HSALNT0150219". The record is from RNAcentral. Lineage: Eukaryota; Metazoa; Chordata; Mammalia; Primates; Hominidae.
GCCCACACUGUUGCCUGGGCUAGAGUGUAGUGGCACGAUCUCAGCUCACUGCAACCUCUGCCUCCCAGAUUCAAGAGAUUCUCCUGCCUCAGUUUCCCGAGCAGCUGGGAUUACAGAUGCCCGCCACCACACCCAGCUAAUUUUUUGUUUUUUUAGUAGAGACAGGGUUUCCCCAUGUUGGCCAGGCUGGUCUCAAACUCCUGACCUCAUGAUUUGCCCGCCUUGGCCUCCUAAAGUGAUGGGAUUACAGGCGUGAGCCACCGCACCCGGCCUGUAUUCAUAUAUAUAUAUAUAUGGAAGUACAGGCUCCAAAGCCCCCAUACUAUUUCCUGUUUCCUCUCCCUUGCACUGGUACAUGUUUGAUAUAUACAACUUUUCAAUAUUUUGGCAGCUUCACCUGUGAUUUUUUUUUAAUAAAAAAAGAAGGGGCAGGAGGUGACAGUAAUCAUCACAAUUUAUUUUUUCUUGUCACAUGAAAAGAAACAAAUCUUUGUGAAAUAAUUUAAUACUUUGAAGGGUGACCCAGAAACACAAGUAAUGGCUAUCAAUGCCUCUUCCAGCCAGUGAAGCUACAAGAACAAGGGAGUCCAAUGCUUCUUUUGAAGAAAGCUUUAAAUUCAUGGCACUAUUUUGGAAUAUGAGAAAAAUAUUUUAAAAUGCAUUUCUUGGCCUCUCUUGUUUUGUUUUGUUUCCUUCCUGCUGCUCUUGGGGAGUAUUAAUAAAAGAGAUGGGAUAAGUGAAAAACACAAGACAGAGAACUAUUUAUUUUUUUUCAGUUUUUUUGCCACUGAAAUGAAAAGAUUAUAAUAAUAAUAGUCACCAUUUAUUAAACUCUGCUAAGCACAUCAUGGCCUGAUUCAAUCCUUUUAGCAUCAUACAAGGAAGUUAUUAUCUCCCCUUUACAGAGAAGGCUGUGGCUGGGGAGGUAGGGGUUGAGAACUUGCCUGAAGUCAUAGCACAUCCUAGCUGCUAGGAACUAUUUUCUGAGCUAGGCUCUUCACACUGACCAUCUUAUAAAGUCUCUCACAGCAUCCCUGGAAUAAAUGCAUUAUUGUCAACAUUUUUAUAACUUACAAAAGGCUAAGUGGUAAAUUGAGGGUAGAAUUCAAACUGAGGUCUUUCCAACUCCAAAACAUGUGCUGUGAUGACCGUGCCAUAAACUUUCUCGUACCUUGUCAGAACAAAUGUACUGAAACUACCAUAGUUUCAGAACUGUAAUAAUCGAUGCAUAGUCCCCAUUGGUAGAUUUAGUGUUUUACAAUAGAGUUUCUGAAAAGCAGUUUUAAAAUACCCUUCAGCAAGCAUUUACUGAGGCCUCGUCUAGGCCAGGACUUGGGCUGGACAUUGCAGGCAUGGCCACAGUAACGAUGACUCAGAACUUGCCCCCAAGGAGUUCACAGUCUGGGAGCAUUGGGGAGAGGAGCAGAAAGUAAACUAGAGAGCACAAAACACAAAGUCACACUCUUGUAUAACAUACACUCAGUAAAAAGGAGGCCCACUAGAGCAGGGUUUCUCAACCUGGCACUAUUGCAUUUGGGGCUGUCUGAGUCUUGCUGUGGGGGCUGCCUGUGCAUUGUGGGGUAUUAGCAGCAUCUCUGAAUUCUACUCAGUAGAUACCAGUAGCCCCCCCACAACCAAAAAUGUCUCUGGACAUUGCCAAAUGUCUCCUGAGGUUGGGGGAGUGAGAAUCACUGCCCCACAGUUACAUCCUGGCAGAGUUAAGCAAUGAAACAAAAUCACUGGCCAUUAAUAAUACUAUAUGAUUUUCAAUUAAGAGCUUAUUUACACACCAAGUACCUUAGAAACCUGAUCUCAUCCCAUCCUCAUCAAAACCUUAUGGUGUGUACAAGCUGGAAUGAUGCCUAUUUUAUAGGUUAGGGCACUGAGGCACAAAGAGUUUAGUGGAUGCCUAGCUGCACAGUAGUGACCGAUAGAGCAGGCAUUUGAAGCCUGCCCUGCCAUCUUAGUCAGUGCACCGAGAUAUGAAGAGCAUUUUUAAAGUGUGCUAGGCUCUUUCAUUUUCAUUACAUGUCCACUGAUAUGGUUUGACUCUGUGUCCCCACCGAAAUCUCAUGUCGAAAUGCAAUCCCCACAUGUUGGAGGAGGGACCUGGUGGGAAGUGAUUGGAUCAUGGAGGUGGAUUUCCCUCCUACUGUUCUCGUGAUAGUGAGUGAGUUCUCAUGAGAUCCAAUGGUUUAAAAGUGUGUGGCACUUCCUCCCUUCACUCUCUCUCUCUCUCCGGCCACCAUGUGAAGAUAUGCGUGCUUCCCCUUCACCCUUCUGCCAUGAUUGUAAGUUUCCUGAGGCUUCCCCAGCCAUGCCUCCUGUACAGCCUGUGGAACUGUGAGUCAAACCCCUUUUCUUCACAAAUUACCCAGUCUCAGGUAGUUCUUUAUAUCAGUGUGAGAACAGACUAAUACAUCCACAGGCUGACCUAAUCUAAAAUUAGCAACACAAAGGAAUGAAUAUUUAUAAUUGUAUACAGUGUUAUCCUUUGUGAAUAUUCUAUCUUAUCCAUUCUGGACCUAAUUAAUCUAGUUUAUUUUGGAUGAUUUGCUUAUGGGAGUCUUGCUUUAACCAGGGAAAAUAUUUAUUAAUUCUGAAGAAUGUAGUAAGUUUCAUAUCUUGAUUUAUAUUUUGGCAGUUCAACCAUGCACUGUGUGGGGGCCAAAAAAAUCCCUAAAAAUAAUCAUAUGAUAUUGGCUAAGACCAAAUGCAGCCAGUUAUUUCUGUUGGUAUGUCUUAAUGAGGGAAAAAGGCAGAGCUGGAUGCCUCUUCUUUCUUAAAUUAAAAACAAAACAAAAUAAACAAGCAAAAAAAACUUCAAGAGACUUCAAAGGUCAGUAGAAAGUUUUCGUUUAAAUUGCCAAUUGUACAAUUUGAGGAAUGCAAGUAAACUGCCCUCAAAUAACUUUUCUAGGUAUUUUUCAAAAAAUUCUAAAGGGAAUAUUUGCUUUCUAGGCAAGGUUUUUAAAUAUUUCAUUAUCUAGGCUUAGAUAGCUUGGAUAGAAUAGUUAUUAUUUUAUAUUCAAUCUUUUACUUUAGCAGACUAUUAGGAUAUGCUUGUUGUGACUCAGUUUUUUGUAUCUACCAUCUGUUGGUUUAUUACCCAAAUCUAUAAGUAAACAUCAACAUAGGAAGCUUUACUGUCACUGAAGCUUUAUUAAAUAAAUGAGUUUAAUUGUGGAUUGUUAUCUGUGAAGUCAGGACCUGGGAGAGAAAAAAGCUACCAGCAACAUUCAGACUGAGAGAGGCCAAAAUACUAAUUCAUAAUUAGCCUGGUACAUAUGAAGGAUCAAAAAGAACAGGACUGUAUGUCUGACCUCUGACAGGAAGAAGGGAGACUGGCCAACUUAAAAUGCAAGGCAAGUUAUUUUCAUGCACUUGUAAAUUACAUUAUGAAUAAGUGUUGGGAAACAUUGGGCUGAUAAAAAAUUUACAAUUGAUAUCUUCAAUUACUACAUGAAGCAAAUAUGAAGUAAAGAACCAACCUGAAUGUAAUCACACUAUAGAUAUUUCACAUAUUUCCACAACUGUUUCCACUAAUUCUGACAGAAUGUCCCCCAUUCACCACAAAUAUGUUUGCCCUAUAUUAAAAUAAUAAGCUAUUUAAAUAACAAGCCUUGUGUUCCUGUAUGCAUAGAAAAUGGUUCAAUUCUUUCUGGCUCAAAUCCUUUAUAAGCAAUCAAACAUCCUACCCCAUUGUCAAUCUGGCCAUCUCCUACUCAUCUUUUUAGGUUUAUACUUAAAUGUCACUUUGAUAAUGGUUUAUUCCCUAACCUCUUAAUUGUAAUUAAGUCCCCAUAUACAUUCCCUCUUCAAAUUUGCACAUUUUAUUCCAAGCAUUUAUAGCAAUUUAUAAUUUUAUGUGUGUGCUUAUUUCUUUAAUGCCUGUCUUCUCAUUUAAUAUCUUUUCUACCCCUGUAUAUCCAGGCCCUACCACCAUAGUAGAGACUCAGUAUGUAUACUUAAUGAAGGAAUAAUGAAUACAUCAGCAAGAGAAAUAAGAGUGACCAUAUGUUCCUUAAGAGAAGCAAAGAGCAGCUCCUGUUCCUGCUGGAAUGAGUCUCCAUUCCUUGCAACAGAAGUGUCCUAAGUUAUAGCCAGAGGACGGGGGCACAUUGACAAAACAUAAAGCGGAUAUGAUAAUAACAAGGUACCAUUCCAGCAAGAACAUCUGAAGAAAGAAGCAGUGUUGUUUAUCUUUCCUUCAUCUAUUCUGAAACUAAAAUCCUUAACCAAAUUUAUUUCCGAAGUUUAACCCUUUAAUAAACUGGCCUCUGACUCCACCUGGUGGAGAUACAUAAAUCUAUGAAAAUAAACCAAUCCAAAUGAAGAUUUUAAAGUCAUCAGCUCUCUUUCAUGUCUCAAAGAAAAAACACAUAUCCCGAAAUUCAAAUAGAUGACCUUCUCGGAUGUGUUAUAGGCACUCAGAAGCCCCAAAGAAAAAAUAGUUUGAGUUGAUCAUUUGACUGUUGCUCUCAGCCUUCAUUUCUGCCUUUCUAGGUUGUGUCAGGCAUUUUGACUGUCCAGGGGCCCUGCAUAUUCUAUUUUCCUAGUUACUUGCUAAGGUUUGAAUAUUUGUCCCCCUCCAAAACUCAUGUUGAAAUUUAAUCCCAAAUGUGGCAGUAUUGAGAGGUGGGGCUUUUCAGAGGUGAUUGGGUCAUGAGAGCUCUGUUCUCAUGAGUGGAUUAAUCCAUUCAUGGAUUAAUGGAAUAAUGGACUAAUGGAUUAAUGAGUUAUCAUAGGAGUGGGACUGGUGCCUUUAUAAUAAGAGGAAGAGAGACCUGAGCUAGCACACUCACCCUCUUCACCAUGUGAGGUCCUGUGCCACCAUGGGACUCUGCAGAGUCUCAUCAGCAAGAAGCCACUUACCAGAUGUGGCCCCUUGACCUUGGGCUUCUCAGCUUCCAUAACUGUAAGAAAUAAAUUUCUUUGUAACUUGCCCAGUUUCAAGUAUUCUGUUAUAAGGAACUGAAAAUGGACUAAGAUACUUUCCUAUUGGCUUCUGGUUAGUUUCUAUCAAUAAGAAUUACUGGUAGAAGUUUGAAAGGUAGGAGUGGAGAGAUGGGACCUUUUUUAUUUUAGUUUCUAUUGGCAUUUUCCAGCAGCAAGGAACAAUGGGCAUUUCAUCAUCAUCUUUUAGCAUUUCCAGCACCCACAGCAAGGAGUCCUUUCACCUGCUUAGUAGCAGCCCUUCAGUAAUCCUAGCAUCUAUUUUAGGUGGUGUUUCAUUUGUGGUCUCAGGACUGGCCCAGGUAGUUCUCUUCUCCAUGAUUCUGGACUCUGGUGAUUCCAUCACCUCCACGUACGCCUUCAGCCAGAAGGACUGUCGCUGUUCCCAGCAGCCAUUUAGCAUAGUUACCUAAGUGUAACCAAAUUCCUGUAUUAUAUUCACUUGUUUGAAAAACCUUGAGUGAUUUCUGACCCACUUCUGUCUCAAGGCCUGAAUAUUCUGAUUCAGAUGAAUUUCAGAAAAUGGAAAAAAAAACUUAGUGAAUAAAAAAGAUUAAAUAGUUUUUAGAAAACCAUAGGAGACAAAAAAGCAACUGGAAGUCACACACACACACACACACACACACACAUUCUUUUAACUUUAUAAGUUAUAAUAAAUUAUGGUAAAAGAGUGACAAGUUUACCUACAUGAAUAUUGAAGCCUUUGUAAAAUCUUUAAAGAAAAAAGGGUACCAAUACAACAGAAAAUUUCAGACUGGAAAAAUAUUGGUAGUCAUCGUCUUAGUUUGAGCAUUUAUCAAUUGCAUUAUAGCAAAACCCUCCAAACUGCUCUCUCUGCUUUGAUUGUCUCUUUUUUUUCCAAAUCUUUUCUGCAUAUUGUCAAAGUUACAUUUCUAAGGAGCAAAUUAAAUGCUGUCACUAUGCUCUUUGAAUUAUCAGUCAACAAAGAGAUUUUUUAAACUAAUUAAUUUAUAAUUAUCCACAGAAAUACAUAUUAAAAGGACAGUGAGGUGUCUGCUAACUCUUUACUCUCUUGGAUGCAGCUUAAUUUCUUCUUCCAGGGACACUUUUCUGACAAUUUUGUUCUUAUACAAUUAUAGCAUUUUUUUUUCUUUUUUUGAGACAGGGUUUCACUCUGUCACACAGGCUGGAGUGCAGUGGCAUGAUCUUGGCUCACUGCAACCUCCGCUUCCUGGGUUCAAGCAAUUCUCAUGCCUCAGCCUCCAAAGUAGCUGGGAUUACAGGCAUGCACCUUCACAUUCAGCUCAUUUUUUUUUUUCUGUAUUUUUAGUAGAGACAGGGUUUCACCAUGUUGGCCAGGCUGGUAUUGAACUUCUGACCUCAAAUGAUCCGCCCACCUCGGCCUCCCAAAGUGCUGGUAUUACAGGCGUGAGCCACUGCGCCUGGCCAGUUAUAGCAAUUUUAAAAACAAUAUUCUAAUCAUGUCCUUUGCAG